RNAcentral lists this unclassified non-coding RNA (829 nucleotides) under Hevea brasiliensis (rubber tree). Lineage: Eukaryota; Viridiplantae; Streptophyta; Magnoliopsida; Malpighiales; Euphorbiaceae. The record is from RNAcentral.
GCAAAAACUGUUCAUUCUAGUUUUUACAGUACAUAAAGGGAAUGCAUUUGAAGUUCAAAGAUGAUCAGCAGUAUAAAUAUCUUCAGUUCUGUCAAAACCUAAACUCUGGAUUGCCCCAGCUUUCGUUCGAAAAGAUGCUUUAGAAGGUAGACUUGUAGAAUGCUAACGCCAAUGAGAGCAGAAGACUCGAGCAAAGCUUUGUAGACGGCUCUUUUGCUCAUUAUUUCAUUCACUAUUGCUUGUCGGUCUGUCUGGGCCUCGAGCCAAUGCUGCUCAAACUGAAUGUUGUAUAAAGCUUCCUCUAGUUGUCCAAUGUGCUCAAACAACGGUUUGAAAUGCUCAUCUUUUGCGUGCUCGUCGUGGUAUGAGAAGUGGGCAGCAUGUAGAUCAAAGUCUAUGGUUUCAUGAUAGGGUGACUUGUUGGUGAAACAGAAACGAUAAACUCCUUCAUGAUGGGCCACAAACUCGUUCUUCUCACUUAUUUUGUCACGAAAAUCAUGAAGCUGCUCCCCGGAAGGUCCCUUCACCACAAGGUCAACACCCUCUUCACUAUAAUGCCAAGAACCUUCUGAUUUGAUAACAACAAACGAAAAAUGGACUGAUUCUCCCAUUUGAACUUUAUGUGAAAAACAUUCUUCUCUAUCAAUCACAAAUCUAAUUCCAUAAACCCCUCCACAUCUCCAUGCCACCACCAAUAUAGUCACCAAGAUCCAAACUUUCAAUGACCCAAUUCUCAUCUUUUCUUGGCGAAAAAAUUGGGAUUUUGGACAAGAGUUUGAAAUUUGUACGAUUUUUGUUGUGUUUGUUUGACUUCCCCUCUACAUCUCCA